This 516-nucleotide ribosomal RNA is filed under the name Steinernema weiseri. Its description in RNAcentral is "LSU rRNA". It matches the Rfam family "Eukaryotic large subunit ribosomal RNA", at positions 335 to 855 of the family's 3401-position model. The record is from RNAcentral. Lineage: Eukaryota; Metazoa; Nematoda; Chromadorea; Rhabditida; Steinernematidae.
CGAUAGCGAACAAGUACCGAGAGGGAAAGUUGCAAAGUACUUUGAAGAGAGAGUUCAAGAGGACGUGAAACCGAUAGGAUGGAAGCAGAUGAAGUUGACGAACGUGUGUCGUAUUCAAAAUCGCUGUCAGCGGUUUGUUUUUACGGCCGAUGUGGGCCGGCGGCUUUGGUCAAUGCAAUGCGUCUAGCGUCGAUGGUGACCCUGCGGAGGGACAAUCAGUCGGCGUACGGUGCUUGGUAUGGCUAAGGUUUCGCCGGUCUUAAAGUCAGCGCCUCAUCUGACCCGUCUUGAAACACGGACCAAGGAGUGUAGCGUUUGCGCAAGUCUUAGAGUGUAUCGAAACUUUGAGGCGUAACGAAAGUAAAUGCAGUUUAAUCUGCUGACUUGGGAUGCGUUGUCUCUUGUGGACGGCGCUGGACCAAGGUUUUAUCGCGAUCGCUUGCGGUGCGGUGAAAAUAGAGCGUAAACGGUGCGACCCGAAAGAUGGUGAACUAUGCCUGAGCAGGAAGACUGGAG